RNAcentral lists this ribosomal RNA (468 nucleotides) under uncultured bacterium. Its description in RNAcentral is "partial 16S ribosomal RNA". It matches the Rfam family "Bacterial small subunit ribosomal RNA", at positions 28 to 507 of the family's 1533-position model. The record is from RNAcentral.
GACGAACGCUGGCGGCGUGCUUAACACAUGCAAGUCGAACGGAAAGGCCCUGCUUUUGUGGGGUGCUCGAGUGGCGAACGGGUGAGUAACACGUGAGUAACCUGCCCUUGACUUUGGGAUAACUUCAGGAAACUGGGGCUAAUACCGGAUAGGAGCUCCUGCUGCAUGGUGGGGGUUGGAAAGUUUCGGCGGUUGGGUAUGGGCUCGCGGCUUAUCAGCUUGUUGGUGGGGUAGUGGCUUACCAAGGCUUUGACGGGUAGCCGGCCUGAGAGGGUGACCGGCCACAUUGGGACUGAGAUACGGCCCAGACUCCUACGGGAGGCAGCAGUGGGGAAUAUUGCACAAUGGGCGGAAGCCUGAUGUAGCAACGCCGCGUGCGGGAUGACGGCCUUCGGGUUGUAAACCGCUUUCGCCUGUGACGAAGCGUGAGUGACGGUAAUGGGUAAAGAAGCACCGGCUAACUACGUG